Long non-coding RNA from Mauremys mutica (yellowpond turtle), 757 nucleotides. RefSeq lists it as uncharacterized. NCBI's taxonomy places the organism in Eukaryota, Metazoa, Chordata, Testudines, Geoemydidae. The transcript has 3 exons. The record is from RefSeq and is a predicted model, not a curated record.
CCAACGAGAGCAGAUGUGGGCUGCUGAGGGAUUGCUGGAGACACCGGACGUUGAUGCCAGCCAGAGGAAAGACAGAGAGAUUUUGUCAUUGUCAGCAGUGGAGGCUCUGCCCGCUGACUUGCUAUGUGGCACUGGAUGAAUAAAUAAAGCCUAGAAGACUAACCAUGUUGCAGAUGAUGGAGAGAGGUUCCCAGAGGAAUAAGAGACCAAGCAGGAGAACAAAAGUUUUGUGUACUGAAGAUGGCAGGAAGAUCCCUGUUCACUGGGCUUCCCCAAUUUCUAUGUUUAGCCUUUGCUAUUUGCACUGAUUUGGCUGUAAAUGCAGAUGAGUUCAUGUCAACAGCAGAGCCAGGAUGCUCUGGGGCAGUUUAAUCUCAGACCUACUUAGCUUAACAAACCAGAUGGAACCCCGUAAUGGGGAGAAUGCAGCAACACACCAUGUCCCACGAUGGUAAAGAGAAUGACCUUUCAUUAGAGAAACAGACCGGGACGAGACAUUACGGCAACCAGUUUAAGUGCUACUAAUAGAGGGUAAUUUAUUUAGGUCUUCAAAUCUCACACCUAAAUUAACCCCAGUUGGCAAUAAUUGAUGCCUUUGCUGGCAAACUCAGCAUGAGCCAAGGACUGAAUGGGCCAUGGAGACUGAACUUCCCAAUUCACGAGCGCAUAGUCCAUCCAGGUCAGGUUUGAAGCCUAUUUCAUGCAAGAACGUUGGUUUGGGAAAGUUGUGCUGCUGUUCCAAGGAUAAUAAUGUUAC